This 267-nucleotide ribosomal RNA is filed under the name uncultured bacterium. RNAcentral describes it as "partial 16S ribosomal RNA". It matches the Rfam family "Bacterial small subunit ribosomal RNA", at positions 793 to 1055 of the family's 1533-position model. The record is from RNAcentral.
GUCCACGCCGUAAACGAUGGACACUAGGCGUCGGGGGGGAGCGACCCCCCUCGGUGCAGUCGCUAACGCAGUAAGUGUCCCGCCUGGGGAGUACGGCCGCAAGGCUGAAACUCAAAGGAAUUGACGGGGGCCCGCACAAGCGGUGGAGCAUGUGGUUUAAUUCGAAGCAACGCGAAGAACCUUACCUGGGCUUGACAUGCUGGUGAAAGCCGGUGGAAACAUCGGCCCCUCUUCGGAGCGCCAGCACAGGUGCUGCAUGGCUGUCGU